CCUUCCUUUCCUUAAAAUCAUGGUAGAAAUGCAGCUGAUUCAGCAUAAUGAGCUGGUGUACCUGAAGGAGGAGCUGGAGCAAUAUAUAGCAGCACAACCGGGCAGAGGCCUCUGAGUCUGAGAUUGGAAAAACCCGCUGGAUGAUGAGCCUUUUGUUUUAGAUUGAGGUAAUUCGAUCUAAAGGAUGCACCGUGAGGAGGUGGCAUGCCGUGUCAUAUUCAUCUGUUUGCCGAAUGGAGAGUAGUGAGUGAGGGAUGUUUCCGAAGCUGUUGUCAGAAGAAAGGGACAAGUCAUGAAGUUUCCUACAAGUUACAAGGCAAUAGUGACUACUAUUCAGAAGCAGUUUUUCCAGUACUGCAGAUU
Molecule: long non-coding RNA, 363 nt
Organism: Strongylocentrotus purpuratus (purple sea urchin)
Lineage: Eukaryota; Metazoa; Echinodermata; Echinoidea; Camarodonta; Strongylocentrotidae
Exons: 3
Source: RefSeq, a predicted model, not a curated record